UUGGUCAAUGGACGCAAGUCUGAACCAGCCAUGCCGCGUGAAGGAUGAAGGUCCUCUGGAUUGUAAACUUCUUUUAUCUGGGACGAAAACGGGAUUUUUAUCUCAAUUGACGGUACCAGAGGAAUAAGCACCGGCUAACUACGUGCCAGCAGCCGCGGUGAUACGUAGGGUGCAAGCGUUGUCCGGAAUUAUUGGGCGUAACGAGCUCGUAGGCGGUUUGUCGCGUCUGCUGUGAAAACCCGAGGCUCAACCUCGGGCCUGUAGUAGGUACGGGCAAACUAGAUUGCGUUAGGGGAGAUGGGUAUUCCUGGUGUAGCGGUAGAAUGCGGAGAUAUCAGGAGAAACGCCGAUGGCGA
Molecule: ribosomal RNA, 356 nt
Filed under: uncultured bacterium
Lineage: Bacteria
Description: bacterial SSU rRNA
Rfam family: Bacterial small subunit ribosomal RNA
Source: RNAcentral